This 1306-nucleotide long non-coding RNA is filed under the name Pelobates cultripes (western spadefoot toad). The record is from RNAcentral. Lineage: Eukaryota; Metazoa; Chordata; Amphibia; Anura; Pelobatidae.
CCCAAUUCUUAUAUUUAAUCCGGUGUGUCUCCCACAAUCUUUGUGUCUGUCUGCUAUAUGUAUGUGGCACGCAAGUCUAUUAUGCCAGCUACUCUAACCAGUUUAUUUUUGUGUGUGUCAAAGCUCUGACAAGCAUGUUCUCAUAUGGGACACGAAGUACAUGAAGAGGAAUGAAGAAGCCCAUGUCUGAUGCUCGUCUCCAGGGUGGAGUAUUGAAUUUAUAAGUAAUGAAGUGGCAUCUGACACAUGACAAGCUGCUCCUGUUUGCACAGCAACUUCAACAUUGUGUACUGUGAUCACGGCAUAGUUCAAAGGUAGGUAACCUUGGGCAGUCCAGAUGCUGUGAAUUACAUCCCCCAUAAUGCUGGCAAACCAUUAUGGGAGGUGUAGUCCAAAACAUCUGGAAUACCGAAUGCGUAUGAAUGAAAAGUAUGGUGUCUGUGAAUGGUCAGUAACAAGGGUUGAAGCCUUGACGUGGCAUUACUGCUCACAUGUGUAUUCAUGUGCCAAUUCAACCAAUGUGAGUCACUGUAAUACUUAGAAGGUAACCAAAAGUACUGUGAUUGUGGAGAAUGAAACGCCUCUAUCACCUACACACUGUUUACACUGUGACCAUAUCUCCUAUACACUGCUUAAACUGUGACCGUAUCUCCUAAACACUGCUCAUACUGUGACCGUAUCUCCUAAACAUUGCUUACACUGUGACCGUAUCCCAUAAACACUGCUUACACUGUGACCGUAUCUCCUAAACACUGCUUACACUGUGACUGUAUCUCCUAAACACUGCUUACACUGUGACUGUAUCUCCUAAACACUGCUUACACUGUGACCGUAUCCCAUAAACACUGCUUACACUGUGACUGUAUCUCCUAAACACUGCUUACACUGUGACCGUAUCCCAUAAACACUGCUUACACUGUGACCGUAUCUCCUAAACACUGCUUACACUGUGACCGUAUCUCCUAAACACUGCUUACACUGUGACCGUAUCUCCUAAACACUGCUCAUACUGUGACCGUAUCUCCUAAACACUGCUCACACUGUGACCCUAUCACCUAAACACUGCUUACACUGUAAGCACAGACCUGCUUUUAUUCAAAAUUGAAAGUGCUCGAUCAUUCUUUCUAUUCUACGCCUCCAAUCUUCAACAUUGAAAUUGUCAUUUCUAAUAAUAUAAAAUAAGUAAUAUGCUUUCUGGUUACGAUUUGGUGAGUUGUAACUAUAUAUUUUAUUUUUACAGUUUCAGAGGGAAGGAGCAAACCGCUUUGAGGAGUCCCUGCGUAAGAGACUAUUGGAUACUGAAGGG